CCUACGGGAGGCAGCAGUGGGGAAUCUUGCGCAAUGGGCGAAAGCCUGACGCAGCAACGCCGCGUGCGGGAAGAAGGCUUUCGGGCUGUAAACCGCUUUCAGCAGGAACGAAAAUGACGGUACCUGCAGAAGAAGGAGCGGCCAACUAUGUGCCAGCAGCCGCGGUGAUACAUAGGCUUCAAGCGUUGUCCGGAUUUAUUGGGCGUAAAGAGUUCGUAGGCGGUCGAGUAAGUCGGGUGUGAAAAUUCUGGGCUCAACCCAGAGACGCCACCCGAUACUGCUUGACUUGAGUUCGAUAGGGGAGUGGGGAAUUCCUAGUGUAGCGGUGAAAUGCGCAGAUAUUAGGAGGAACACCGGCGGCGAAGGCGCCACUCUGGAUCGAUACUGACGCUGAGGAACGAAAGCAUGGGUAGCAAACAGGAUUAGAUACCCUGGUAGUCCAUGCCGUAAACGGUGGGCACUAGGUGUGGGUUUCUAUUAACGAAGUCCGCGCCGUCGCUAACGCAUUAAGUGCCCGCCUGGGGAGGUACGGUCGCGAGACGUAAACGUUAAAGUAAGUAGUAACGGUCGUGUUAGACGUGCCGAAGGACGACGACGAGGGAGGAGG
This 607-nucleotide ribosomal RNA is filed under the name uncultured bacterium. Its description in RNAcentral is "bacterial SSU rRNA". It matches the Rfam family "Bacterial small subunit ribosomal RNA", at positions 338 to 957 of the family's 1533-position model. The record is from RNAcentral.